This 71-nucleotide ribosomal RNA is filed under the name uncultured eukaryote. RNAcentral's name for it is "partial Eukaryotic small subunit ribosomal RNA". The record is from RNAcentral.
GAUUAAUAGGGACAGUCAGGGGCACUCGUAUUCCGCAUAGAGAGGAGAAAUUCUUAGACCCACGGAUGAAA